GCGCUCACUUUGUCAGCACAUGUACUAAAACUGGAAUGAUACAGAGAUUAGCAUGGCCCCUGAGCAAGGAUGACAUGCAAAUUCGUGAAGCAUUCCAUAUUUAU
Cricetulus griseus (Chinese hamster) is the source of this 104-nucleotide small nuclear RNA. NCBI's taxonomy places the organism in Eukaryota, Metazoa, Chordata, Mammalia, Rodentia, Cricetidae. The record is from Ensembl.